GAACGAUCACUUCAGUGCUGAGCACUGGCCUUGUUGGAUAUCCAGUGAGACCAAGGCAGCAGCAAGGCCCCAGUCAGCCCUAUCCCAGACCCUCUGUCUUCAGGGAGGUGGGCAGAGGCCAUGUGGGGGUUUGAGGUGCCCUUAAGAGGCACAGCUGAAGUCAGGCUGCAUUUCACCACUUCAUUGACUGUGUGGGAGCCAUAUCCUCUUUGACAGUUCCGCAGCAAGUGAGCCACAGGUUAGGACGGUCCAAAAGCUCCAGGGAUCUAAGAUGUGAGAACAGGAGCUGCUAGCAGCAGUGCUGACAAGCUGUAGGGAUCCAGCAGCGGUCUCACUUUGGACACCAAAAGUCCCAGCUUGGCCAAAUG
Molecule: long non-coding RNA, 368 nt
Filed under: Gallus gallus (chicken)
Lineage: Eukaryota; Metazoa; Chordata; Aves; Galliformes; Phasianidae
Description: long non-coding RNA NONGGAT003858
Source: RNAcentral